Molecule: long non-coding RNA, 1161 nt
Filed under: Homo sapiens (human)
Lineage: Eukaryota; Metazoa; Chordata; Mammalia; Primates; Hominidae
Description: long independently transcribed non-coding RNA 2980, transcript variant 2 (LINC02980)
Source: RNAcentral
GCAGUCGCCCUGCGCGCCUCCCCGCGAGGCUUGUUUUCUAGCGCCUCUGGUGGGCCGCCUCCCGCAGGCCUGGUGUGAGCCUGGGGUCCGUUCUCACAGCUGGAUCUGGGGUCUGAAUGCCGCGCCCUCUGGAGAGCCACAGAUGGGUCUCCGCUGAUGCUUCUCUCAAUUUCCUCUAAGAGCGAGAGCUCCGGGAAAGGAGCCGAUCCUGGUGGAAGACUACAGGUCUGAGUCCACUGGACGAAAAACGAGGCUCCUUGGAUUAGAGACCAUCCUGAGGACAUCCUUGGGAGCCAUGUGCUGAAGAUGGCCAAGCCACAGGAUGAAAGGAGCUGCAUCUUUGAGUCACCACUGGAGAAAGGUCUCUCUAAAUGGAUUUGCAGAGACGUCUUCUCGAAUACUCCCCUUCUAAGUUCCACUUGUAAUCCACUUCUUCUAUUCUCCCAGCAAUCAAUGUGGUUUGGGGAAAUUCCAGAAUCUCAUAAUACCUUGGUCAUGGGUAAAUAAGGAAAGGACCUUUACAUACAUGUGAUGCAAAGCAGAUCAAAACAAGCAGAGCAGCCUAAGAGCAGCAAGACCCCAAAGGAUAAGGGAAGUCCUGCAGAAGAGCAGAGCGGUGCUGCAAAGGCAGGCAGAGAUGAGGUUUCGCCAUGUUGACCAGGCUGGUCUCAAACUCCUGGACUCAAGUGAUCUGCCCACCUCGGCCUCCCAAAGUACUGGGAUUACAGGCAUGAGCCAAUGUGCCCGUCCUGAGGAGUUUUCUUCUGGAAUUCCUGCUGGGUUUUUGUAGUCAGUCCUCUCCCCAUUUCCCACAUUGGCUCUUGCAGACCUUCCUUUUCCCCAUUUCUAUUUGCUACCAUGUCAGACAUGACUUUUGCCAUAGGAUCUCUAUUCUACUAUAGAGGAAACCAAAGCCAUCAGUAGAAAUUUCACUAACAUGGAAUCAGAUUUAUAGAAGAAAGGGGGAGGAAAGUUUUGCCUUAACACCUGGAAGGGUUUCGUUUCUUUUAGUAGCUGGGAGACAGAAACAUAAGAAAGUAGCUUAGUAAGCUUUCUGCUGUUCAACUGAUGAUGUGUGAGCUGUCAGUAGUUCAAACUAGUCAUUAUCUUUAUGAAUUAAUUAUGUAAUAACUUAAACAAUGUCAUAAACCUUCAAAUCAG